CUCCACCCCAGGCUCUGCCACCUGCCUGAGAGUCUCUCUCUCCCCCUCUUCUCCCUCUCCAUCUGGCCCUAUCCCAACUCUCCCCCCACAAAACAAAACAAAACAAAACAAAACCAUUAGCCAGGGUAGGAACUUUCCAUUUUAUUUCAGGUGCAGCCAAAAGCCACUGGAAAGAUUGAAGCCCAGGAGUGACAUAGAAGCUCCAGCUCACACUUGGCCCGGGACCAAGGAGCAGUGAAUGGAGGGGGACCCCUGGUGUGGACUUGGAGUUUAGAAGAUGUAGCGCUGCAUUUGGAGGCUGAUUGGAUCAUCAGGCCAAGGGCAGUCAACAGGACCUGUGGCCACCACCACCAUCCUGGUUCUCGAGAGAGGAUUACACCAUGUAUCUCCAGCCAUGGAAAAGAUCCGAAUUCAAAAUUCAAAACACGAUUUCUCCCGAAUGCGUAUAGCUUUCACAGUACUGUGAAGCCAAGAAAUAGUAAGUUGGACCACCAUUAAGUCCAGGACUGUCUGUGUUUGGAAAGGUAAUUGCAUUUAGCCAGGAGAUAAUCUUUAUUAGAAAUAUUCUACCUAAACAAAAUACAGAAUUCUCAACUCUAAAAGAAGUCUAGAAUCAUCAAAUUCGUAUAAUAAAUUACCCUAAUGUUAUCCUUAGAUGUUUAAUUAGUUAAUUAAUUCAGGUUUUCAAUAUUCCACCAAUAUUUAUUAAGUGACUAUCUCUGUGGCAAUCCUAGUACUAGGGAUUGGCUUUUUAAA
RNAcentral lists this long non-coding RNA (756 nucleotides) under Mustela putorius furo (domestic ferret). RNAcentral's name for it is "lncRNA (ENSMPUG00000029111.1)". Lineage: Eukaryota; Metazoa; Chordata; Mammalia; Carnivora; Mustelidae. The record is from RNAcentral.